RNAcentral lists this ribosomal RNA (443 nucleotides) under uncultured bacterium. RNAcentral's name for it is "partial 16S ribosomal RNA". It matches the Rfam family "Bacterial small subunit ribosomal RNA", at positions 338 to 795 of the family's 1533-position model. The record is from RNAcentral.
CCUACGGGUGGCUGCAGUGGGGAAUAUUGGGCAAUGGAGGAAACUCUGACCCAGCAACGCCGCGUGAAUGAUGAAGGUCCUCGGAUUGGAAAGCUCUUUUUUUAGGGAAGAAGAAAGUGAUGGUACUUUAGGAAUAAGCCUCGGCUAACUACGUGCCAGCAGCCGCGGUAAUACGUAGGAGGCGAGCGUUAGCCGGAAUGACUGGGCGUAAAGGGUGCGUAGGUGGUUGGGCAAGUUAGUAGCGUAACUCCCAGGCUCAACCUUGGAACUACUACUAAAACUGUUGGACUUGAGAGCAGGUGGGGCAGCCGGAAUGUCUGGUGUAGCGGUGGAAUGCGUAGAGAUUAGACAGAACACCGGUGGCGAAGGCAGGUUGCUAGGCUAUAACUGACGCUGAGGCACGAAAGCGUGGGGAGCAAACAGGAUUAGAUACCCUAGUAGUC